CACGGAGGCCCCAAGCGUUGUUCGGAAUUACUGGGCGUAAAGGGUGCGUAGGCGGCGAGGUAAGUCAGAUGUGAAAGCCCGGGGCUCAACCCCGGAAUAGCAUCCGAUACUGCCUUGCUUGAGGAUUGGAGAGGAGACUGGAAUUCACGGUGUAGCAGUGAAAUGCGUGGAUAUCGUGAGGAAGGCCAAUGGCGAAGGCAGGUCUCUGGACAAUUCCUGACGCUGAGGCACGAAGGCCAGGGGAGCAAAAAGG
Molecule: ribosomal RNA, 253 nt
Filed under: uncultured bacterium
Lineage: Bacteria
Description: partial 16S ribosomal RNA
Rfam family: Bacterial small subunit ribosomal RNA
Source: RNAcentral